UGCUACAUCUAAGUAUAGUUGGUCUCCCAAGAAAAUACAAAAUGGGCUGGUUGGAUUAACUGAUACAAAAACCAAUUAUGUUUUUCAUGGUGUUAUAGAAUAAUAUAAACAUAGAGGUGUAACUGAAAAUCCAGGUAGAUUAAGGAAAACAUAUAAAAAACAAAAAUUAAAAAAGACAAUAAUCAAAGCAUAAAGUCGAGACCUUUGCAAGGUCAGCCUUUGCUCAAUUUUGCUUGGAGAGCAAAACACAAAGCUUGAAGCUUUCACAUUUGACGGCUACAGAGGGAGAAAGAUAAAUUCGUUUUCUUUUCUCCUUUUGGUUCAUCUGGGGAUCACGAAACAAGAUGAACGAAGUCAUAACUCCACACCAUUUUUGAAGGUGAGACUUUUGCUAGUCUCGUUGAUCUUGCUUCUCUUAUUUAUUAUCCAAUGGAAAUUUCACUUCUUUCUUAGCAAUAAAGGGCUCAAAUUUGUGGGUUU
RNAcentral lists this long non-coding RNA (480 nucleotides) under Brassica napus (rape). RNAcentral's name for it is "long non-coding RNA (BNAP_LNC000428)". The record is from RNAcentral. Lineage: Eukaryota; Viridiplantae; Streptophyta; Magnoliopsida; Brassicales; Brassicaceae.